CAACAGAAGAAGCACCGGCUAACUCCGUGCCAGCAGCCGCGGUAAUACGGAGGGUGCGAGCGUUAAUCGGAAUUACUGGGCGUAAAGCGCACGCAGGCGGUUUGUUAAGCUAGAUGUGAAAGCCCCGAGCUCAACUUGGGAUGGUCAUUUAGAACUGGCAGACUAGAGUCUUGGAGAGGGGAGUGGAAUUUCUAGUGUAGCGGUGAAAUGCGUAGAUAUUAGAAGGAACAUCAGUGGCGAAGGCGACUCCCUGGCCAAAGACUGACGCUCAUGUGCGAAAGUGUGGGUAGCGAACAGGAUUAGAUACCCUGGUAGUCCACACCGUAAACGCUGUCUACUAGCUGUUUGUGAGUUUAACUCGUGAGUAGCGAAGCUAACGCGCUAAGUAGACCGCCUGGGG
This 400-nucleotide ribosomal RNA is filed under the name uncultured bacterium. RNAcentral describes it as "bacterial SSU rRNA". It matches the Rfam family "Bacterial small subunit ribosomal RNA", at positions 479 to 878 of the family's 1533-position model. The record is from RNAcentral.